Molecule: ribosomal RNA, 490 nt
Filed under: uncultured bacterium
Lineage: Bacteria
Description: partial 16S ribosomal RNA
Rfam family: Bacterial small subunit ribosomal RNA
Source: RNAcentral
AUUGAACGCUGGCGGCAGGCCUAACACAUGCAAGUCGAACGGUAACAGGAAGCAGCUUGCUGCUUUGCUGACGAGUGGCGGACGGGUGAGUAAUGUCUGGGAAACUGCCUGAUGGAGGGGGAUAACUACUGGAAACGGUAGCUAAUACCGCAUAACGUCGCAAGACCAAAGAGGGGGACCUUCGGGCCUCUUGCCAUCGGAUGUGCCCAGAUGGGAUUAGCUAGUAGGUGGGGUAACGGCUCACCUAGGCGACGAUCCCUAGCUGGUCUGAGAGGAUGACCAGCCACACUGGAACUGAGACACGGUCCAGACUCCUACGGGAGGCAGAAGUGGGGAAUAUUGCACAAUGGGCGCAAGCCUGAUGCAGCCAUGCCGCGUGUAUGAAGAAGGCCUUCGGGUUGUAAAGUACUUUCAGCGGGGAGGAAGGGAGUAAAGUUAAUACCUUUGCUCAUUGACGUUACCCGCAGAAGAAGCACCGGCUAACUCCGUG